Molecule: long non-coding RNA, 401 nt
Filed under: Mytilus galloprovincialis (Mediterranean mussel)
Lineage: Eukaryota; Metazoa; Mollusca; Bivalvia; Mytilida; Mytilidae
Source: RNAcentral
AUGCAUACGUUGCCAGUAUGUCAAAACAUCUAGGAAUAAUUGUUUAUCUGAAUACUCAAUUUUUGAAAAUUGUGACAUUAAAUUAGAAGGAUCAUAUCAUAAGGAACAUUGUGUAUUAAGUUUUAAGUUGAUAGGACUUCAAUUUCAUAAAAAACUGCCUUGACCAAAAACUUCAACCUAAAGCGGGACAGACGGAGGAACGGACGCACAGACCAGAAAACAUAAUGUUCAUAAAUGGUGCUGAAAAAGAACUUUCACCUAUCUAAUUAACAUGUACACAAUUGGAGAAAAUGAAAGACAAAAUCUACGCAAGUGAAAGAUAAAAAAAGAAAUGCCGAUUGGCACAAAUACAAGACAAAUACGCAUGUGAAAUAAUAAAAAAAAUGAUAUGCAGAUCGGCG